This 1025-nucleotide ribosomal RNA is filed under the name Cellulomonas cellasea. RNAcentral's name for it is "bacterial SSU rRNA". It matches the Rfam family "Bacterial small subunit ribosomal RNA", at positions 56 to 1093 of the family's 1533-position model. Lineage: Bacteria; Bacillati; Actinomycetota; Actinomycetes; Micrococcales; Cellulomonadaceae. The record is from RNAcentral.
UGCAGUCGAACGGUGACGACGGGGCUUGCUCUGUCUGAUCAGUGGCGAACGGGUGAGUAACACGUGAGUAACCUGCCCCCGACUCUGGAAUAACCGUGGGAAACGACGGCUAAUACCGGAUAUGAGACGCACGGGCAUCUGUGUGUCUGGAAAGAUUUAUCGGUCAGGGAUGGACUCGCGGCCUAUCAGCUUGUUGGUGGGGUAAUGGCCUACCAAGGCGACGACGGGUAGCCGGCCUGAGAGGGCGACCGGCCACACUGGGACUGAGAUACGGCCCAGACUCCUACGGGAGGCAGCAGUGGGGAAUAUUGCACAAUGGGCGCAAGCCUGAUGCAGCGACGCCGCGUGAGGGAUGAAGGCCUUCGGGUUGUAAACCUCUUUCAGCAGGGAAGAAGCGAAAGUGACGGUACCUGCAGAAGAAGCGCCGGCUAACUACGUGCCAGCAGCCGCGGUAAUACGUAGGGCGCAAGCGUUGUCCGGAAUUAUUGGGCGUAAAGAGCUCGUAGGCGGUUUGUCGCGUCUGCUGUGAAAACCUGAGGCUCAACCUCGGGCUUGCAGUGGGUACGGGCAGACUAGAGUGCGGUAGGGGUGACUGGAAUUCCUGGUGUAGCGGUGGAAUGCGCAGAUAUCAGGAGGAACACCGAUGGCGAAGGCAGGUCACUGGGCCGCAACUGACGCUGAGGAGCGAAAGCAUGGGGAGCGAACAGGAUUAGAUACCCUGGUAGUCCAUGCCGUAAACGUUGGGCACUAGGUGUGGGGCUCAUUCCACGAGUUCCGUGCCGCAGCAAACGCAUUAAGUGCCCCGCCUGGGGAGUACGGCCGCAAGGCUAAAACUCAAAGAAAUUGACGGGGGCCCGCACAAGCGGCGGAGCAUGCGGAUUAAUUCGAUGCAACGCGAAGAACCUUACCAAGGCUUGACAUACACCGGAAAAGUGCAGAGAUGUGCUCCCCGCAAGGUCGGUGUACAGGUGGUGCAUGGUUGUCGUCAGCUCGUGUCGUGAGAUGUUGGGGUUAAGUCCCGCAAC